Molecule: ribosomal RNA, 255 nt
Filed under: uncultured bacterium
Lineage: Bacteria
Description: partial 16S ribosomal RNA
Rfam family: Bacterial small subunit ribosomal RNA
Source: RNAcentral
CACGUAGGGUGCGAGCGUUGUCCGGAAUUAUUGGGCGUAAAGAGCUCGUAGGCGGUGUGUCGCGUCGGCCGUGAAAACCUGCAGCUUAACUGUGGGCGUGCGGGCGAUACGGGCAGACUUGAGUACUGCAGGGGAGACUGGAAUUCCUGGUGUAGCGGUGGAAGUGCGCAGAUAUCAGGAGGAACACCGGUGGCGAAGGCGGGUCUCUGGGCAGUAACUGACGCUGGAGGAGCGAAAGCGUGGGGAGCGAACAGG